CGACAUGCCCGUUGCCCGGGGACAACCGGUGGAAACGCCGACUAAUCCCCGAUGGGACGGAGGCCCUCAUGGGUCUCUGUUGAAAGUUACGGCGGCGACGGAUUGGCUCGCGUCCGAUUAGCUUGUUGGCGGGGUAACGGCCCACCAAGGCUACGAUCGGUAGGGGUUCUGAGAGGAAGGUCCCCCACAAUGGAACUGAGACACGGUCCAUACUCCUACGGGAGGCAGCAGUGAGGAAUAUUGGUCAAUGGGCGGAAGCCUGAACCAGCCAUGCCGCGUGCGGGAAGGAGGCCCUAUGGGCUGUGAACCGCUUUUGCCUGGGGGCAAUAAGGGCGUCGCGCACGUCCGAUGAGAGUACCAGGGGAAUAAGCAUCGGCUAACUCCGUGCCAGCAGCCGCGGUAAUACGGGGGAUGCGAGCGUUAUCCGGAUUCAUUGGGUUUAAAGGGUGCGUAGGCUGUGCGUCAAGUCAGGGGUGAAAUUCCGGGGCUCAACUCCGGGGCUGCCCUUGAUACUGUCGCGCUGGAGUGCGGAUGCCGCCGGAGGAAUGAGUGGUGUAGCGGUGAAAUGCUUAGAUAUCACUCAGAACACCGAUUGCGAAGGCAUCUGGCGAAUCCGUAACUGACGCUGAGGCACGAAAGCGUGGGGAUAGAACAGGAUUAGAUACCCUGGUAUUCCACGCCGUAAACGAUGAUGGCUAACCGCCGGCGACACACUGUCGGUGGCCAAGCGAAAGCGAUAAGCCAUCCACCUGGGGAGUACGUCGGCAACGAUGAAACUCAAAGGAAUUGACGGGGGCCCGCACAAGCGGAGGAACAUGUGGUUUAAUUCGAUGAUACGCGAGGAACCUUACCCGGGCUCGAACGGCGCCUGAACCACCCAGAGACGGGUGGGUCUUCGGACAGGUGCCGAGGUGCUGCAUGGUUGUCGUCAGCUCGUGCCGUGAGGUGUCGGCUCAAGUGCCAUAACGAGCGCAACCCCUGCCGCCAGUUGCCAUCAGGUGAAGCUGGGCACUCUGGCGGGACUGCCACCGCAAGGUGUGAGGAGGGGGGGGAUGACGUCAAAUCAGCACGGCCCUUACGUCCG
Molecule: ribosomal RNA, 1084 nt
Filed under: human gut metagenome
Description: bacterial SSU rRNA
Rfam family: Bacterial small subunit ribosomal RNA
Source: RNAcentral